AUGGCAGCACGGGUGGUGACACACUUCCUUUCCCCAAAACCACUGAGGCAUGCCAGCAGCAGGGAAAUAGAGGCCUUCCCCAGAAAUCCCAUCUGGGGUCUGGAGGUGUUUGUUUCCCACAGCAAACCAGCCAUGGUCUCCUCCAUCUUUGCCCUCUCCCUCUGCAAUACAAAUGCAUCAGGUGUAUCUCCCAUCUGCCCCAUGGCAUCAUGCCCACUGGGCUGGGGACCAAAGGCAGAGCUUUCGGGACCCACCUGCCCCCCGCCGCUAGGGCGCAAGAGAGGCGGCAGAGAUGACAGCCUCCAUGCGACAAUCCCCGAAAAACCACCCCCCAACCCGCUGAGAAUGCUGAUCUUGAAAGCAGGCAGGCGAGCUGCCCCCACAGUCAGCUGGCGAGCACUCCCCGCUGCACGGAAGGAGACACCAGCUGCCGGAGCCACUGCUACAGAAUCAACGGGUCCGGGAUGGUCCGAGCUCAAACAAACAGCCAUUUCCAGGGCAGUCUCUGACGCCGACACGGAGGACAGAGUCUCCGACAGUGGCAGAACUGCUGGGGCAGCCGGUGCAAGCGGUGGGGGGGCUGGAGCCGGGGAGGAAAUCACGCUGUGUGUAGGAGCAGCCGCGGGCUGCUCCGAGAGUCCUGCAGGUUCAGCGCCGUCUCAGCACCAUCCUGAACAGGGACCGUCUCAGCUUGAGGCGGCGGGAAGGCCGGUGAAAGCGGUGGGGGGGGCCAAAGGGGCUGGAGAGAACUCCUCCUCUGCUGAGCCGGAAGCUGGAGACGCGUUGUUGUCGCCUAGCAACAGUGACUCAGCAGGCACAGGAAGCGCUGUUUCUGCGUUCUCAGAUGCAGGCGGGGAAGCCGGUGAAGCCGCGGGCGGGACUGCCUGGAGAGGCGGAGACGGGAUCGCCCGGAGAGGCGGCCGCGCCGGCGGGGCGGGCCGCAGGGCCUGGCAAGCGGGGGAGCCGCGGGGACCGGUGCCACCCCCAUCUCUGAGCGGGGCGGGGUCCGAGAGGCCGACUGUGGCAGGCCCGUCCACUCCCCUUCCCCCGUGCAUGUCCCGGAGAAAGAGUGAAAAAAACUUCUUCGCGUGGCGAAGUUUCACCCCCACCCCCCGCCGGGAAGCAGGGGGGGCUGGAAAGCAGAAUGUCGUCCCCCACUGGGUCUUCUCCCGCUGGGGAUGGGGGAAAAGGAGCCAGCCCAUAGCAGUUACAAAUCCAGGGAAAAACAGCUGCUUUCCGUUUCAAAACUGGGAAGAGCUUUCUAAAUGCUGGGUAGACAGGAGGGAAGUCGCAACCCUGACCCCAAACGAAUCAGAAAAUAAGAGUCCAUGCAUUCCCACACGAAAACAUCCAAGGCGUAUAGGACAUCAGUAA
RNAcentral lists this long non-coding RNA (1374 nucleotides) under Zonotrichia albicollis (white-throated sparrow). Its description in RNAcentral is "lncRNA (ENSZALG00000004211.1)". Lineage: Eukaryota; Metazoa; Chordata; Aves; Passeriformes; Passerellidae. The record is from RNAcentral.